CGUCACGCCACGCCAAGCCGCGCCCCCAUCGGGGGUCAGUCAAGGUCUGCGCCUGCGCCUGCGCCUCCGCUGGACCUGCGGGCCGGCCGCCGGCUUCGGGUGGGAGCCGGGCGCCCGCGGUGAUGGGAAAUACAGUCAUCAGAAUUGACUGCAGAAGAAAGAUCCUAACCUACUACCAGUAUCAAUGGAAAAAACUGGAGUUCUCCAAAAGCUGCCAUCCCCCAAAACACCAAGGCCAGAUAUUA
Suncus etruscus (white-toothed pygmy shrew) is the source of this 245-nucleotide long non-coding RNA. RefSeq lists it as uncharacterized. The record is from RefSeq and is a predicted model, not a curated record. The transcript has 2 exons. Lineage: Eukaryota; Metazoa; Chordata; Mammalia; Eulipotyphla; Soricidae.